Molecule: ribosomal RNA, 497 nt
Filed under: uncultured bacterium
Lineage: Bacteria
Description: partial 16S ribosomal RNA
Rfam family: Bacterial small subunit ribosomal RNA
Source: RNAcentral
GAUGAACGCUGGCGGCGUGCCUAAUACAUGCAAGUCGAGCGAACAGACGAGGAGCUUGCUCCUCUGACGUCAGCGGCGGACGGGUGAGUAACACGUGGAUAACCUACCUAUAAGACUGGGAUAACUUCGGGAAACCGGAGCUAAUACCGGAUAAUAUAUUGAACCGCAUGGUUCAAUAGUGAAAGACGGUUUUGCUGUCACUUAUAGAUGGAUCCGCGCCGCAUUAGCUAGUUGGUAAGGUAACGGCUUACCAAGGCAACGAUGCGUAGCCGACCUGAGAGGGUGAUCGGCCACACUGGAACUGAGCCGCGGUCCAGACUCCUACGGGAGGCAGCAGUAGGGAAUCUUCCGCAAUGGGCGAAAGCCUGACGGAGCAACGCCGCGUGAGUGAUGAAGGUCUUCGGAUCGUAAAACUCUGUUAUUAGGGAAGAACAAAUGUGUAAGUAACUAUGCACGUCUUGACGGUACCUAAUCAGAAAGCCACGGCUAACUACGUG